This 1151-nucleotide small RNA is filed under the name Pan troglodytes (chimpanzee). RNAcentral describes it as "retained intron". The record is from RNAcentral. Lineage: Eukaryota; Metazoa; Chordata; Mammalia; Primates; Hominidae.
UUCCCAGAGGCCGGGAUCCGGAGCGCCCGAAGCCGGUGCCGCAGCCCCCUGCGCCCCCGACAUGUCCUUCCGCAAAGUGGUCCGGCAGAGCAAAUUCCGGCAUGUGUUCGGGCAGCCGGUCAAGAACGACCAGUGCUAUGAGGACAUUCGCGUGUCCCGUGUUACCUGGGACAGCACCUUCUGCGCCGUCAACCCCAAGUUCCUGGCGGUGAUUGUGGAGGCCAGUGGAGGGGGUGCCUUUCUGGUGCUCCCCCUAAGCAAGACGGGCCGCAUUGACAAGGCCUACCCGACGGUGUGUGGGCACACAGGACCUGUCCUGGACAUCGAUUGGUGUCCUCACAACGACGAAGUCAUAGCCAGUGGCUCGGAGGACUGCACGGUCAUGGUGUGGCAGAUCCCAGAGAACGGGCUGACCUCCCCGCUGACAGAGCCGGUGGUGGUACUGGAGGGGCACACCAAGCGAGUGGGCAUCAUCACCUGGCACCCCACGGCCCGAAACGUGCUGCUCAGUGCAGGCUGCGACAACGUGGUACUCAUCUGGAAUGUGGGCACAGCGGAGGAGCUGUACCGCCUGGACAGCCUGCACCCUGACCUCAUCUACAAUGUCAGCUGGAACCACAGUGGCAGCCUGUUUUGCUCAGCAUGCAAGGACAAGAGUGUGCGCAUCAUCGACCCCCGUCGGGGCACCCUGGUGGCAGAGCGGGAGAAGGCUCAUGAGGGGGCCCGGCCCAUGCGGGCCAUCUUCCUGGCAGAUGGCAAGGUGUUCACCACAGGCUUCAGCCGAAUGAGCGAGCGGCAGCUGGCACUCUGGGACCCAGUGAGUGGCCAGCCUGAGGGGGCAAACUUGAGACUUGGGCCCCACCCUGGUCCAGGCAGGCAGGGUUCACCCUGGGGAGGCCUGUGGUUCCUAGCUUCUCUGCCUGGAACUUGAGGCUCUCAGGGCCUGGGACUCUGUCAGACUUUCCUCUCCUGCCCCCUGCUCGCCCGACUGCCCCACCACUCCCCCAUGGCCUCCCACUGCCUCCGUGUCUUUGCCCAUGUUGUUCAUGCCAACGGAAGGGCCCUUCUCUCCCUUGCUUGCCUGUACCACCCACUGCCUGCACAGGGCUCCCUGCUCCUCCAGAAAGCCUCCUCCUCCAGCAAGCCUCCUG